UAGGGAAGUAGGGGCAAUGGACGAAAGUCUGAACGAGCAACGCCGCGUGAGUGAAGAAGGUUUUCGGAUCGUAAAACUCUGUUGUUAGAGAAGAACAAGGACGUUAGUAACUGAACGUCCCCUGACGGUAUCUAACCAGAAAGCCACGGCUAACUACGUGCCAGCAGCCGCGGUAAUACGUAGGUGGCAAGCGUUGUCCGGAUUUAUUGGGCGUAAAGCGAGCGCAGGCGGUUUCUUAAGUCUGAUGUGAAAGCCCCCGGCUCAACCGGGGAGGGUCAUUGGAAACUGGGAGACUUGCGUGCAGAAGACGAGAGUGGAAUUCCAUGUGUAGCGGUGAAAUGCGUAGAUAUAUGGAGGAACACCAGUGGCGACGGCGGCUCUCUGGUCUGUAGCUGACGCUGAGGCUCGAAAGCGUGGGGAGCAAACAGG
Molecule: ribosomal RNA, 429 nt
Filed under: Gemmatimonadota bacterium
Lineage: Bacteria; Pseudomonadati; Gemmatimonadota
Description: Gemmatimonadetes bacterium partial 16S ribosomal RNA
Rfam family: Bacterial small subunit ribosomal RNA
Source: RNAcentral